AGACUUGAAGCCACACAGAUUGUGCACGCGCCGGAGCAGCGGCGCACCAGCCCCCGGCUCCGGCGCCACCAUCUUCGCGCUAAGCUCUGGCCAAGGCCGCUGCGGCAUCGCAGUGAUCCGGACCAGCGGCCCUGCCAGCGGCCACGCCCUCCGAAUUCUCACGGCACCCCGAGACCUGCCCCUUGCUCGCCACGCCAGCCUGCGCCUGCUCAGCGAUCCCCGCUCCGGGGAGCCUCUGGACCGCGCACUGGUGCUCUGGUUCCCAGGUCCCCAGAGUUUCACCGGUGAGGACUGCGUGGAGUUCCACGUUCAUGGAGGCCCGGCAGUGGUGAGCGGCGUCCUGCAGGCCUUGGGCAGCGUGCCAGGGCUUCGACCGGCGGAGGCAGGCGAGUUCACCAGACGGGCGUUCGCCAAUGGGAAGCUGAACCUGACCGAAGUGGAGGGGCUGGCGGACCUUAUCCACGCGGAAACAGAGGCGCAGCGGCGGCAGGCCCUCAGGCAGCUGGACGGAGAGCUAGGCCACCUCUGCCGUGGCUGGGCCGAGACCCUCACCAA
RNAcentral lists this small RNA (555 nucleotides) under Pan troglodytes (chimpanzee). Its description in RNAcentral is "processed transcript". The record is from RNAcentral. Lineage: Eukaryota; Metazoa; Chordata; Mammalia; Primates; Hominidae.